AUUGAACGCUGGCGGCAUGCCUUACACAUGCAAGUCGAACGGCAGCACGGGAGCAAUCCUGGUGGCGAGUGGCGAACGGGUGAGUAAUGUAUCGGAACGUACCUUUCAGUGGGGGAUAACGUAGCGAAAGUUAUGCUAAUACCGCAUAUUCUGUGAGCAGGAAAGCAGGGGAUCGCAAGACCUUGCGCUGAUUGAGCGGCCGAUAUCAGAUUAGCUAGUUGGUGAGGUAAAGGCUCACCAAGGCGACGAUCUGUAGCGGGUCUGAGAGGAUGAUCCGCCACACUGGAACUGAGACACGGUCCAGACUCCUACGGGAGGCAGCAGUGGGGAAUUUUGGACAAUGGGCGCAAGCCUGAUCCAGCCAUGCCGCGUGAGUGAAGAAGGCCU
This 387-nucleotide ribosomal RNA is filed under the name uncultured bacterium. Its description in RNAcentral is "bacterial SSU rRNA". It matches the Rfam family "Bacterial small subunit ribosomal RNA", at positions 30 to 417 of the family's 1533-position model. The record is from RNAcentral.